RNAcentral lists this ribosomal RNA (586 nucleotides) under uncultured bacterium. RNAcentral describes it as "partial 16S ribosomal RNA". It matches the Rfam family "Bacterial small subunit ribosomal RNA", at positions 355 to 1375 of the family's 1533-position model. The record is from RNAcentral.
UGGGGAAUUUUGGACAAUGGGCGAAAGCCUGAUCCAGCAAUGCCGCGUGUGUGAAGAAGGCCUUCGGGUUGUAAAGCACUUUUGUCCGGAAAGAAAUCCUUGGCUCUAAUACAGUCGGGGGAUGACGGUACCGGAAGAAUAAGCACCGGCUAACUACGUGCCAGCAGCCGCGGUAAUACGUAGGGUGCAAGCGUUAAUCGGAAUUACUGGGCGUAAAGCGUGCGCAGGCGGUUUGCUAAGACCGAUGUGAAAUCCCCGGGCUCAACCUGGGAACUGCAUUGGUGACUGGCAGGCUAGAGUAUGGCAGAGGGGGGUAGAAUUCCACGUGUAGCAGUGAAAUGCGUAGAGAUGUGGAGGAAUACCGAUGGCGAAGGCAGCCCCCUGGGCCAAUACUGACGCUCAUGCACGAAAGCGUGGGGAGCAAACAGGAUUAGAUACCCUGGUAGUCCACGCCCUAAAACGAUGUCAACCAGUUGUUGGGGAUUCAUUUCCUUAGUAACGUAGCUAACGCGUGAAGUUGACCGCCUGGGGAGUACGGUCGCAAGAUUAAAACUCAAAGGAAUUGACGGGGUCAUAGCUGUUUCCU